CCCUUAGAUGUCCUGGGCCGCACGCGCGCUACACUGAGUGUCUGAGAUACGAGUCUGCCUGGUCCGGCAAGGUCUAGGUAAUCGCUAAAAGACACAUCAUGCUUGGGAUAGAUUAUUGCAAAUAUUAAUAUUGAACGAGGAAUUCCUAGUAAGCGCAAGUCAACAGCUUGCGUUGAUUACGUCCCUGCCCUUUGUACACACCGCCCGUCGCUACUACUGAUUGGAUGUUUAAGCGAGGUUCUCGAACUGCUAGCGACUUAGCUUCGGUGAGGUCGCAGUGUGGGAAGUGAACCUAGCUUUGGUGUCUAGAGGAAGUAAAAGUCGUAACA
RNAcentral lists this ribosomal RNA (329 nucleotides) under uncultured eukaryote. Its description in RNAcentral is "partial 18S ribosomal RNA". It matches the Rfam family "Eukaryotic small subunit ribosomal RNA", at positions 1470 to 1796 of the family's 1831-position model. The record is from RNAcentral.